RNAcentral lists this ribosomal RNA (496 nucleotides) under Geotrichum candidum. Its description in RNAcentral is "eukaryotic LSU rRNA". It matches the Rfam family "Eukaryotic large subunit ribosomal RNA", at positions 80 to 602 of the family's 3401-position model. Lineage: Eukaryota; Fungi; Ascomycota; Dipodascomycetes; Dipodascales; Dipodascaceae. The record is from RNAcentral.
UUAGUAACGGCGAGUGAAGCGGCAAAAGCUCAAAUUUGAAAUCGGCCACCAGGUCGAGUUGUAAUUUGUAGAUUGUAUCUUGAGAGCGGAUUAAAGUCUGUUGGAACACAGCGCCUUAGAGGGUGACAGCCCCGUAAAAUCUAUUCUCAUUGUAAGAUACUUUCGAAGAGUCGAGUUGUUUGGGAAUGCAGCUCUAAGUGGGAGGUAAAUUCCUUCUAAAGCUAAAUAUUGACGAGAGACCGAUAGCGAACAAGUACUGUGAAGGAAAGAUGAAAAGCACUUUGAAAAGAGAGUGAAAAAGUACGUGAAAUUGUUAAAAGGGAAGGGUAUUGAAUCAGACUUGGUGCUGUUGUUCAACUGUGUUUCGGCAUAGUGUACUCAGCAGUACUAGGCCAAGGUGGGGUGUUUGGGAGUGAAAAAGAAGUUGGAACGUAACUCUUCGGAGUGUUAUAGCCUACUUCAUAGCUCCUCAGGCGCCUCAGGACUGCGCUCGCAA